This is a long non-coding RNA of Ornithodoros turicata, 543 nucleotides long. RefSeq lists it as uncharacterized. NCBI's taxonomy places the organism in Eukaryota, Metazoa, Arthropoda, Arachnida, Ixodida, Argasidae. The transcript has 2 exons. The record is from RefSeq and is a predicted model, not a curated record.
UAGCUCUCAACCCUUUGAUUGAUAAAGCAUGCGCAGUGCUUUGGCAGUAUAGACAUAGAGAUAAUAUGUCUCCGGCGUUGGAAGAAAAACCGAGAUCUUCACAUAUCGUACUGAACCCAUGAGUUGGAUGCCUCUGUCAAAGUAAGAUUAUCCAGUGUGGCCGCAGUAUAGAAUGUAUUAUUGAAUGCGAAUGUGGUUUCCUAUAAUAGUAAGUCAUCUUUCAGGUCGUUGGCGCGGGGCUCCAUAAUUGAACAAUUGGUAAGCAAUGUGAUGAAUGUUGAUAUUAUGUUUUCUUUCAGAAUCUGGUGACUUGAAAUAUUAAUAGCCAAUACAUUAUGUAUGUUCUUUACAUAUACUAUCUUGUGUUUUUAUUUCUUCUGUUACAGGUGGUGAAGGUUUUUCGGCUGGGUUUUUCUCCUUCACCUGAUUGGCAUCACAAUUGGCAAGACUAUUGGCACAAUUCCCAGCACUAUUGGCAGUAAUAAAUAUAUUUCAGCUUGACUGGCAUUAUAAUUGGCUUUAAUAAAUAUAUUUCAUCUUGUA